GAAGGAGUCCGGCCGGAUCUGGGCUCGGGUGGGUGAGAUCGUUACGACUGCGCUGCAGGAUGAGAACUUUGAGGUGGAUGGACGCAGGUGCAGGGAGAGAACCAUGCUGCUGCUCGACUAUUACAAAAAGCAGGACUUUCCCAGCCUGCGCAGCAUGACACAGCAUGACAGACACCAGGACACACAUGGAAAAACUUAUACCAGACAUUUCUGGGUUUGGCACGGAGAGGCUUUACGCUCAGAAGGAGGAUCUGCUGCACGAGGUUUUGGAGCUUGAGGCCGAGAAGAACCUGAUGGCAAGUGGUGAAGGGAAAUACCAGGAUGGAGAGAUGAAGAAGAGAACGCUAGAGGAGCUCACACUAUCCGAGCCGGACAAACCCACUGUGCUUCCAGUCGCGGCAGCGGCGCCUACAGUGUCUGGUUCAUUGGAGCCGGAGGAACAGGAGGACCUGGUCGAGCUGUCGGCGCCCACUGCCAAGCGACCAUGCCAGUGCUGCUGCCAGACGUACUCGGAGAUCCUGAGCUUCCUGGAGAAACGCUCGGAAGCCGAGCAGCGGCUGCGUGAAGAGGAAAUGGCACUCCGCAGGGAAGAGCUCGAGAUCCAGCGGAGCAAAAUCGCUCUGGAACGCGAACGACUCGGUGCUGAGAGGAAGGAACGUGAGCGGCGCUUUGAGCUGGAGAGCCAGGAGAGGCAGGUCAUCCUUGAUCUGCUCAAGGAGAAAGUUCUCAAGAGCGAGAAGAACGCUGAGUGCUGACUUUUCUGAACACAGUGCUACAUUACCAAUAGUUUUGGACUCAUUUUGCUAACCUGUUGCUAACAUUUUCCCUCACAAAGAGUUCAUUCUAACAGUAAUGGCUAUUUGGAAUAUUUAAAAGAUUAUUUGGGACAAUGUAUGUAGAUAUUGAGCCAUAAUGUAGUAGCUAGCUAACAACUAGCUAGCUAACUGGCUAAAUAAUAAUUUAUAGAUUGUAGCACUUUACAAAUUGCGUAUCCAAAACACUAGCACUUGAGUUUAGAGCUGGGUGGUAUGACAAAAAUAUCUCGCCAUGAUACAUCAUGACAUUUCAACGAUAUAUAGGUUUACUAACAAACUGCCAGCAAAACACCAGUAAAAAAAACUACUAAAAAGUAACUUUUUUC
This is a long non-coding RNA of Ictalurus punctatus (channel catfish), 1141 nucleotides long. The record is from Ensembl. NCBI's taxonomy places the organism in Eukaryota, Metazoa, Chordata, Actinopteri, Siluriformes, Ictaluridae.